RNAcentral lists this ribosomal RNA (253 nucleotides) under uncultured bacterium. RNAcentral's name for it is "partial 16S ribosomal RNA". It matches the Rfam family "Bacterial small subunit ribosomal RNA", at positions 524 to 776 of the family's 1533-position model. The record is from RNAcentral.
UACGUAGGGUGCAAGCGUUGUCCGGAAUUAUUGGGCGUAAAGAGCUUGUAGGCGGUUUGUCGCGUCUGCUGUGAAAUUUCGGGGCUCAACCCCGAACUUGCAGUGGGUACGGGCAGACUAGAGUGUGGUAGGGGAGACUGGAAUUCCUGGUGUAGCGGUGAAAUGCGCGGAUAUCAGGAGGAACACCGAUGGCGAAGGCAGGUCUCUGGGCCAUAACUGACGCUGAGGAGCGAAAGCAUGGGGAGCGAACAGG